UUAUCAAACACAACAUUGCAUGUUCAUCUUGGAGUAGAUACUUCUUUGCUUAGUAUCAGAUGGAUUUUAGCUGUAGUGAAAAUAUCCAUUUCUGAUCAACUCCGUAUUCACAGGUCUAGACAUGUAUCAAGCUGCAAUUAACCUGCGUACUAGUUAUGGUGACAAUGCACAAUCCGAUCAAGUAAAAUUCUCAGGUGCAACCAAGUAUCAAGCCAAGUUCUCUGUUGGCCUACAUACAAACUUGCAAUGAAAAUCUGCUUAACCCAACGUCUCUGGUCCAACCAAGUAUCAAGCCAGCCCAUAUCAAAUACUAGUUCUGGUGGAAGUAUAUAAUUUGCUCCAGCCCAAGGGACUGUUUGGAGGACUCGAUUGAUUGAUUGCCAUGAAGAUGAGACAAAUGGUUUCCAAUGAAUUGUUUGUUGAUGGCGGUUUCUUCAAGACCUGGGAUACUGUUAUACUCGAUGAGGAUGGUUACUAAGUCAUAAUAGGACGUAAGGUUACCUCAUUGUUGUCCUUUGUACUCUCUCUCUCUCACACACACACACACACUCUCAAGGAAAGUGAAAGACAACCUCCACACCUACUACAAAAAAAGGAAGAAUAAAGAACAUGAAAUGACCACCAGCCAAAUCACUUUGUGCAGCUUCUGUCUGUCAUAGAAUGUUGUGUGUUGGGAUUACCAGACAAAGACUAUGGAGAACGUGUUUGUGCAAUUAUUAUGCUUCAGCAUAACACAAAAAUGACUGACGCCUGAUGACUCCAAGCCUACUAUGAGCUCAAAUGAACUCCCCACAUGGGCUAAAGACAACUUUGCUCCAUUCAAGUUAUUGUUCAUGUUACUGUUGAUGGACUCACUGCCUUGGAACGCCAUGGGAGGAAAGGUGGAUUGCAUCUUCAACGCCAUUGCUUCCCAUUUUUCAUUCGAAUAAAAACUUCUCUUGAACUGCAGGUCACCAAAUAAAAAGCUAUUGGAUCUAUUGGUGAUGAAAAGUGAAACAUAGACAUUUGUUCAUAGUAGCAGUAUGUAGUAUAGUUGGUGCUGUCAAGCAAUUAAUUAAGUGAAGAAACAAACAGCUUUCUAAUAAGAAAGUUGUUGAUUUUGGAGUGAGUUGGGAACUAAAUAAUGGCAAUCGAUUUGUGUUGUAGAGCGAGACCACUCGUAAGAGAGUUCAAAAGAGCCCAUUUUGCAAGGACAGAGUUCACUAGAAAGUUGAACAAAACUCAUUCCCUCUUCUCGUUUGUGUCAUCCGUACAAAAACUCAAAGGUAACUUAGAAGAUAGAAUUAAAUUAUAGAAUAUGCAAAUGCAAACUUAGGAUUAUACAUAAAUAAUACAUACA
Long non-coding RNA from Cucumis sativus (cucumber), 1339 nucleotides. RefSeq lists it as uncharacterized. Lineage: Eukaryota; Viridiplantae; Streptophyta; Magnoliopsida; Cucurbitales; Cucurbitaceae. The transcript is spliced from 4 exons. The record is from RefSeq and is a predicted model, not a curated record.